UACGGAGGGUGCAAGCGUUAUCCGGAUUUAUUGGGUUUAAAGGGUGCGUAGGCGGAAAAUUAAGUCAGUGGUGAAAGCCUGCAGCUUAACUGUAGAAUUGCCAUUGAUACUGAUUUUCUUGAGUAUGGUUGAAGUGGGCGGAAUGUGUCAUGUAGCGGUGAAAUGCAUAGAUAUGACACAGAACACCAAUAGCGAAGGCAGCUCACUAAGCCAUUACUGACGCUCAGGCACGAAAGCGUGGGGAGCGAACAGG
RNAcentral lists this unclassified non-coding RNA (253 nucleotides) under uncultured Flavobacteriales bacterium. RNAcentral describes it as "contains 16S-23S intergenic spacer region". It matches the Rfam family "Bacterial small subunit ribosomal RNA", at positions 524 to 776 of the family's 1533-position model. The record is from RNAcentral. Lineage: Bacteria; Pseudomonadati; Bacteroidota; Flavobacteriia; Flavobacteriales.